RNAcentral lists this unclassified non-coding RNA (378 nucleotides) under plant metagenome. RNAcentral describes it as "partial contains 5.8S ribosomal RNA, internal transcribed spacer 2, and large subunit ribosomal RNA". The stretch from base 1 to 105 matches the Rfam family "5.8S ribosomal RNA", at positions 50 to 154 of the family's 154-position model. The record is from RNAcentral.
GAAAUGCGAUAAGUAAUGUGAAUUGCAGAAUUCAGUGAAUCAUCGAAUCUUUGAACGCACCUUGCGCUCCUUGGUAUUCCUUGGAGCAUGCCUGUUUGAGUAUCAUGAAAUCUUCAAAGUAAAUCUUUUGUUAACUCAAUUGGUUUCUACUUUGGUAUUGGAGGUCUUUGCAGCUUCACACCUGCUCCUCUUUGUUCAUUAGCUGGAUCUCAGUGUUAUGCUUGGUUCCACUCGGCGUGAUAAGUUAUCUAUCGCUGAGGACACUGUAAAAGGUGGCCAAGGUAAAUGCAGAUGAACCGCUUCUAAUAGUCCAUUGACUUGGACAAUACUUUUAUGAUCUGAUCUCAAAUCAGGUAGAACUACCCGCUGAACUUAGGC